RNAcentral lists this ribosomal RNA (506 nucleotides) under uncultured bacterium. Its description in RNAcentral is "partial 16S ribosomal RNA". It matches the Rfam family "Bacterial small subunit ribosomal RNA", at positions 30 to 523 of the family's 1533-position model. The record is from RNAcentral.
AUUGAACGCUGGCGGCAGGCCUAACACAUGCAAGUCGAACGGUAACAGGAAACAGCUUGCUGUUUCGCUGACGAGUGGCGGACGGGUGGGUAAUGUCUGGGAAACUGCCUGAUGGAGGGGGAUAACUACUGGAAACGGUAGCUAAUACCGCAUAACGUCGCAAGACCAAAGAGGGGGACCUUCGGGCCUCUUGCCAUCGGAUUUGCCCAGAUGGGAUUAGCUAGUAGGUGGGGUAACGGCUCACCUAGGCGACGAUCCCUAGCUGGUCUGAGAGGAUGACCAGCCACACUGGAACUGAGACACGGUCCAGACUCCUACGGGAGGCAGCAGUGGGGAAUAUUGCACAAUGGGCGCAAGCCUGAUGCAGCCAUGCCGCGUGUAUGAAGAAGGCCUUCGGGUUGUAAAGUACUUUCAGCGGGGAGGAAGGGAGUAAAGUUAAUACCUUUGCUCAUUGACGUUACCCGCAGAAGAAGCACCGGCUAACUCCGUGCCAGCAGCCGCGGUAA